This 64-nucleotide transfer RNA is filed under the name Dicrocoelium dendriticum. RNAcentral describes it as "tRNA-Cys". Lineage: Eukaryota; Metazoa; Platyhelminthes; Trematoda; Plagiorchiida; Dicrocoeliidae. The record is from RNAcentral.
GGGUAUGUGCUUUGUGCGUUUUGCUUUGCAAAGGCAAAAUAUGGUGUGGUUUCACUCGUGCCUU